UUAAGCGACCAAGCGUACACGGUGGAUGCCCUGGCAGUCAGAGGCGAUGAAGGACGUGCUAAUCUGCGAAAAGCGCCGGCGAGGUGAUAUGAACCCUUGACCCGGCGAUGUCCGAAUGGGGAAACCCAGUGUGACUCGUCACACUAUCAUUAACUGAAUCCAUAGGUUAAUGAGGCGAACCGGGGGAACUGAAACAUCUAAGUACCCCGAGGAAAAGAAAUCAACCGAGAUUCCCCCAGUAGCGGCGAGCGAACGGGGAGGAGCCCAGAGCCUGAAUCAGCAGGUGUGUUAGUGGAAGCGUCUGGAAAGGCACGCGAUACAGGGUGAGAGCCCCGUACACGAAAAUGCACCUGCUGUGAGCUCGAUGAGUAGGGCGGGACACGUGGUAUCCUGUCUGAAUAUGGGGGGGACCAUCCUCCAAGGCUAAAUACUCCUGACUGACCGAUAGUGAACCAGUACCGUGAGGGAAAGGCGAAAAGAACCCCGGCGAGGGGAGUGAAAAAGAACCUGAAACCGUGUACGUACAAGCAGUGGGAGCACAGGUUUACCUGUGUGACUGCGUACCUUUUGUAUAAUGGGUCAGCGACUUAUAUUCUGUAGCAAGGUUAACCGAAUAGGGGAGCCGGAGGGAAACCGAGUCUUAACCGGGCGUUAAGUUGCAGGGUAUAGACCCGAAACCCGGUGAUCUAGCCAUGGGCAGGUUGAAGGUUGGGUAACACUAACUGGAGGACCGAACCGACUAAUGUUGAAAAAUUAGCGGAUGACCUGUGGCUGGGGGUGAAAGGCCAAUCAAACCGGGAGAUAGCUGGUUCUCCCCGAAAGCUAUUUAGGUAGCGCCUCGUGAACUCAUCUCCGGGGGUAGAGCACUGUUUCGGCUAGGGGGCCAUCCCGGCUUACCAACCCGAUGCAAACUGCGAAUACCGGAGAAUGUUAUCACGGGAGACACACGGCGGGUGCUAACGUCCGUCGUGAAGAGGGAAACAACCCAGACCGCCAGCUAAGGUCCCAAAGUCAUGGUUAAGUGGGAAACGAUGUGGGAAGGCCCAGACAGCCAGGAUGUUGGCUUAGAAGCAGCCAUCAUUUAAAGAAAGCGUAAUAGCUCACUGGUCGAGUCGGCCUGCGCGGAAGAUGUAACGGGGCUAAACCAUGCACCGAAGCUGCGGCAGCGGCACGCAAGUGUUGUUGGGUAGGGGAGCGUUCUGUAAGCCGUUGAAGGUGUGCUGUGAGGCAUGCUGGAGGUAUCAGAAGUGCGAAUGCUGACAUAAGUAACGAUAAAGCGGGUGAAAAGCCCGCUCGCCGGAAGACCAAGGGUUCCUGUCCAACGUUAAUCGGGGCAGGGUGAGUCGACCCCUAAGGCGAGGCCGAAAGGCGUAGUCGAUGGGAAACGGGUUAAUAUUCCCGUACUUGGUGUUACUGCGAAGGGGGGACGGAGAAGGCUAUGUUGGCCGGGCGACGGUUGUCCCGGUUUAAGCGUGUAGGCUGGUUUUCCAGGCAAAUCCGGAAAAUCAAGGCUGAGGCGUGACGACGAGGCACCACGGUGCUGAAGCAACAAAUGCCCUGCUUCCAGGAAAAGCCUCUAAGCGUCAGGUAACAUCAAAUCGUACCCCAAACCGACACAGGUGGUCAGGUAGAGAAUACCAAGGCGCUUGAGAGAACUCGGGUGAAGGAACUAGGCAAAAUGGUGCCGUAACUUCGGGAGAAGGCACGCUGACAUGUAGGUGAAGCGGUUUACCCGUGGAGCUGAAGUCAGUCGAAGAUACCAGCUGGCUGCAACUGUUUAUUAAAAACACAGCACUGUGCAAACACGAAAGUGGACGUAUACGGUGUGACGCCUGCCCGGUGCCGGAAGGUUAAUUGAUGGGGUCAGCGCAAGCGAAGCUCCUGAUCGAAGCCCCGGUAAACGGCGGCCGUAACUAUAACGGUCCUAAGGUAGCGAAAUUCCUUGUCGGGUAAGUUCCGACCUGCACGAAUGGCGUAAUGAUGGCCAGGCUGUCUCCACCCGAGACUCAGUGAAAUUGAACUCGCUGUGAAGAUGCAGUGUACCCGCGGCAAGACGGAAAGACCCCGUGAACCUUUACUAUAGCUUGACACUGAACACUGGUCCUUGAUGUGCAGGAUAGGUGGGAGGCUUUGAAGCGUGGACGCCAGUCUGCGUGGAGCCGUCCUUGAAAUACCACCCUUUAAUGGCUGGUGUUCUAACGUGGGCCCCUGACCGGGGUUGCGGACAGUGUCUGGUGGGUAGUUUGACUGGGGCGGUCUCCUCCCAAAGAGUAACGGAGGAGCACGAAGGUUGGCUAAUCCUGGUCGGACAUCAGGAGGUUAGUGCAAUGGCAUAAGCCAGCUUGACUGCGAGCGUGACGGCGCGAGCAGGUGCGAAAGCAGGUCAUAGUGAUCCGGUGGUUCUGAAUGGAAGGGCCAUCGCUCAACGGAUAAAAGGUACUCCGGGGAUAACAGGCUGAUACCGCCCAAGAGUUCAUAUCGACGGCGGUGUUUGGCACCUCGAUGUCGGCUCAUCACAUCCUGGGGCUGAAGUAGGUCCCAAGGGUAUGGCUGUUCGCCAUUUAAAGUGGUACGCGAGCUGGGUUUAGAACGUCGUGAGACAGUUCGGUCCCUAUCUGCCGUGGGCGCUGGAAGAUUGAGGGGGGCUGCUCCUAGUACGAGAGGACCGGAGUGGACGCAUCACUGGUGUUCGGGUUGUCAUGCCAAUGGCACUGCCCGGUAGCUAAAUGCGGAAGAGAUAAGUGCUGAAAGCAUCUAAGCACGAAACUUGCCCCGAGAUGAAUCUUCCCUGAGACUUUAAGUCUCCUGAAGGAACGUUGAAGACGACGACGUUGAUAGGCCGGGUGUGUAAGCGCAGCGAUGCGUUGAGCUAACCGGUACUAAUGAACCGUGAGGCUUAACCUU
Molecule: ribosomal RNA, 2904 nt
Filed under: Salmonella bongori
Lineage: Bacteria; Pseudomonadati; Pseudomonadota; Gammaproteobacteria; Enterobacterales; Enterobacteriaceae
Description: 23S ribosomal RNA
Rfam family: Bacterial large subunit ribosomal RNA
Source: RNAcentral